This 768-nucleotide ribosomal RNA is filed under the name Pseudomonas sp. RNAcentral's name for it is "partial 16S ribosomal RNA". It matches the Rfam family "Bacterial small subunit ribosomal RNA", at positions 81 to 842 of the family's 1533-position model. Lineage: Bacteria; Pseudomonadati; Pseudomonadota; Gammaproteobacteria; Pseudomonadales; Pseudomonadaceae. The record is from RNAcentral.
CUUGCUCUGAUUCNGCGGCGGANGGGUGAGUAAUGCCUAGGAAUCUGCCUGGUAGUGGGGGACAACGUUUCGAAAGGAACGCUAAUACCGCAUACGUCCUACGGGAGAAAGCAGGGGACCUUCGGGCCUUGCGCUAUCAGAUGAGCCUAGGUCGGAUUAGCUAGUUGGUGAGGUAAUGGCUCACCAAGGCGACGAUCCGUAACUGGUCUGAGAGGAUGAUCAGUCACACUGGAACUGAGACACGGUCCAGACUCCUACGGGAGGCAGCAGUGGGGAAUAUUGGACAAUGGGCGAAAGCCUGAUCCAGCCAUGCCGCGUGUGUGAAGAAGGUCUUCGGAUUGUAAAGCACUUUAAGUUGGGAGGAAGGGUUGUAGAUUAAUACUCUGCAAUUUUGACGUUACCGACAGAAUAAGCACCGGCUAACUCUGUGCCAGCAGCCGCGGUAAUACAGAGGGUGCAAGCGUUAAUCGGAAUUACUGGGCGUAAAGCGCGCGUAGGUGGUUCGUUAAGUUGGAUGUGAAAUCCCCGGGCUCAACCUGGGAACUGCAUCCAAAACUGGCGAGCUAGAGUAUGGUAGAGGGUGGUGGAAUUUCCUGUGUAGCGGUGAAAUGCGUAGAUAUAGGAAGGAACACCAGUGGCGANNNCGACCACCUGGNACUGAUACUGACACUGAGGUGCGAAAGCGUGGGGGAGCAACAGGAUUANAUNNCCNNGGNAGUCCACGCCCGUAACGAUGNCAACCUANCCNNUGGGANNCUUGAGCUCUUU